Molecule: long non-coding RNA, 922 nt
Filed under: Homo sapiens (human)
Lineage: Eukaryota; Metazoa; Chordata; Mammalia; Primates; Hominidae
Description: HSALNT0155255
Source: RNAcentral
AUGUGCUUCUGUCCAUCAUCUGGGUCAUAUAUAGUUCAAUGCGAGCUGAGCAGACAGGGCUGCAAGGAAAUCUGGCGCGGUUCAAUACCUCGUCUAGCCUGGGUUCCAGUAUCUAAUUUUUUUUUUGUUUUAACUGACAAACUCAUUUCUCUACUGGGACAGGAUGCUGUGCUGGCUGGAAGUUCCAUUUCUACAGCAAGAAUCCUAUCUGGAAACACAGAAGUUGUCCUCUAGCCACAGCAGCUCGAACUUUUUUGAUUGUCGUUGCUGCUUUCUCCCAUCACCCCCAUCCCCUUUUGACAAAGAUCCAACUGUAAAAAGUCUUACGUAACAGUUCAGGACUACUUCGGUUCUUUUACUGGAUCAUAUAAAUCUUUCGCCUUUUAAAUCAUGUAUUAAAAAAAAAGAAAAAGGAAAAACAAAGAUUUCUUUUAGAUGCAGAAUCUACCUACAUUCGGCUGAAAAUCAGAUGGAAGAAUCCACAGAGGAAAGGAAGGAAAGGCGAACUGUCCUGUGGAAAGCACAGCUGCAGGGAUAGUAGAAAGUAACAGGCUCUCGAUCCGUGGGAGGUGGUCACUUUGGAGGACAGAUAAGUCAUCCUCAGAGAACGAACACAAUGAAGGAAAUUCCAGCCUAUUCAUGUUCUCCUCUCAGGCUGUACCUCAACAAGAUCCAACUGGACUUUGUGAUCUCAUAACCUGUCAAGGGGCCUGGCAUGGAGUAGAUAAUAAAUGUUUUUUUUAAUCAAAUGAAUUUUUAACUUUUUUUAUCAAACGAAUUUUCUUGUAAUUUCUAGCACAAUUAUAUUUAUAACUUAGGAAGUAAUCUUCUCCUUGAACCAAGCACAGGAUACCUUCAGCUAUCUAUCUGUCCCACACAUUGCAGUUUCAGCCUAUAUAUAAUUUUAAUAGCUACCAAAUAU